Molecule: long non-coding RNA, 1771 nt
Organism: Pygocentrus nattereri (red-bellied piranha)
Lineage: Eukaryota; Metazoa; Chordata; Actinopteri; Characiformes; Serrasalmidae
Source: Ensembl
GGCAUCAGGACACAUAUCUACAGGAAGGGUGGAAAAUAGAACAAGAAGAGAGGGUUAUAUACUUUAAAAGUGCUGCCAGUUUUCCACUCAGCUACUUGUUUAAAAACACAAAACAGGCAGUCGAAGGUGAAAAUGGAUUUUAAAUUAAUCUACUCCAAAGAAAAAAUGAAAAAAACAGAGCCUCUUGUGCAGUGCUGUGUCUCUGUCAGUUAGGUAAAUCAGACGGUGCAGUUGGUGCAGUCAGUCUACCUCCUCUGUAGGCUUCUCGACCUGCGUGCCCUCCCCUGCCUCAUCGAGAACAGGAACCAGGUAUCUGUUGCUGUCAUUUCUGAGAGACUGCAAUACAGAGAUGCUUGACUACAGGAUCAUUCUCAUCGUCGCGAUCCUCACCAUCUUUCAUUCAACAAUUUCUGAGUACCACGUUCAUGCGAAGAACGGCCCACACUGCAAAUCAAAUGUCAAAGACAUGCUCCUGGCUAUACAGAGAGUAACUGCAAACGACAACACUGCUUCAGUCCACUGCCCAACACUGAAAGAUGAUGAGGAGAACGUUCACAUCAGUCUAUACAGAAACACAUGUGAACUGCACUCGACUGAUUUCAGAAGGACUCAACCAUCGAACAACUCAGAUCUCCAGCACAGGCUUCAUUUAUCCAUUGAGAAGAAUACAGUCUAUUAUCUGAUAAGCCUGCCUCAAGUCAAUGACACAAGCCUGUACUGUUGUGAAGUCCAGCAUGGCACCACUGACAGCAGAACAGCCUGCACUUUGCUACUUGUUAAAGAUGCAGUUCCUUUCUGUUCUUAUGAGGGAGGACCAGUGUACUGGCUGAUGCUAACUGUAGGCUGUGGGCUAUUUGCUUUGUACGGCCUUAUUGUCACUGUUGUCACCUGUUCCUUUUGUGUGAGUCCCUCUACACACACAAACACGCACACACACACACACACACACACACAGUGUUUUGUCAACACAAGUGUUAAUGUAUAUUUAUGUGUGUACUGUUCAUCAUUUUUCAACACACAAUACAAACUGUAUUUCACUGUAUAUGACAAGCUUCCCACAUAUGAGGGGUGGACAACUGUUAACUUGUUGUGUCAGAGUGGCUGUUUUCUACAAAAGUUCAAAACUGGUGUUUCUUUUUCUAAACCAGCGGAAACUCAAGAACGAAGAGGAAGAUCAGAAUGAUUAUUGCAACACAAAACCAGGAGAAUUCAAAAGAGCCAAAUGAAUUCAGUCUAGCUUCAACAGCAAAUUACUGCCCACCUGUGCAUCUACAACUGAAUAUAUGACCAGUACAAUGUACCCAUUAAAGAGCAGCAAUCUGCAAUCAUGUGUUACAAAGACAACCAACCACUGAUCCAUAACUAGAACAUAUACAGUCAACUGUAUGUCUGAUUCAGUUCAUUCAAUAGGUUUAAUAACUCUCAUUAUAUUCUGCAUUUUUAUUACGUCUUGUAAAUAUUUGUUGUCUUUGAAUACUGUGACAUCUUCCAUCUACUAAUGUAACAAUACUCUAACAUAUACAACAUCUAUGCAGACUGUGGACCUGUUGUUUAAGACAAUGUAAAAAUUGUGCUCUACAGUAUUUUUUGACUUUUAGACUCAUUAUUUAGAUCUUUGUUUUAGCAUAAUGAAAACUUUGUGCCAAUCAGUAUUAACUUUGUGCAUCAUCAUUAUUGGAAUCCAAAUAAAUGUAAUUCAGGUGUACCGCUCGCUGUUGUCUCAUCUUUUCUUAGUUAUAACAUUAAAACAACUUUCUGAAGAAUAGAAUCA